This 469-nucleotide ribosomal RNA is filed under the name uncultured Sphingobacteriales bacterium. Its description in RNAcentral is "bacterial SSU rRNA". It matches the Rfam family "Bacterial small subunit ribosomal RNA", at positions 912 to 1382 of the family's 1533-position model. The record is from RNAcentral. Lineage: Bacteria; Pseudomonadati; Bacteroidota; Sphingobacteriia; Sphingobacteriales.
GACGGGGGCCCGCACAAGCGGUGGAGCAUGUGGUUUAAUUCGAUGAUACGGCGAGGAACCUUACCUGGGCUCAAAUGUAUGUUGACGUAUUCUGAAAGGGAUACUUCUUCGGACAAUAUACAAGGUGCUGCAUGGUUGUCGUCAGCUCGUGCCGUGAGGUGUCGGGUUAAGUCCCAUAACGAGCGCAACCCCUAUCAUUAGUUGCCAUCAGGUCAAGCUGGGGACUCUAAUGGAACUGCCUACGCAAGUAGUGAGGAAGGCGGGGAUGACGUCAAAUCAGCACGGCCCUUACGUCCAGGGCUACACACGUGCUACAAUGGCCGAUACAGAGGGCAGCUACCUGGUGACAGGAUGCAAAUCUCCAAAGUCGGUCUCAGUUCGGAUCGGAGUCUGCAACCCGACUCCGUGAAGUUGGAUUCGCUAGUAAUCGCGCAUCAGCCAUGGCGCGGUGAAUACGUUCCCGGGCCUU